UACAGAGGGGGCAAGCGUUGUUCGGAAUUACUGGGCGUAAAGGGCGCGUAGGCGGCCUUCUAAGUCAGACGUGAAAUCCCUCGGCUCAACCGGGGAACUGCGUCUGAUACUGAAAGGCUUGAAUCCGGGAGAGGAAUGCGGAAUUCCAGGUGUAGCGGUGAAAUGCGUAGGUAUCUGGAGGAACACCGGUGGCGAAGGCGGCAUUCUGGACCGGCAUUGACGCUGAGGCGCGAAAGCCAGGGGAGCAAACGGG
RNAcentral lists this ribosomal RNA (253 nucleotides) under uncultured bacterium. RNAcentral's name for it is "partial 16S ribosomal RNA". It matches the Rfam family "Bacterial small subunit ribosomal RNA", at positions 524 to 776 of the family's 1533-position model. The record is from RNAcentral.